This 86-nucleotide transfer RNA is filed under the name Pedosphaera sp. RNAcentral describes it as "tRNA-Leu". The record is from RNAcentral. Lineage: Bacteria; Pseudomonadati; Verrucomicrobiota; Pedosphaerae; Pedosphaerales; Pedosphaeraceae.
GGGCUCGUGGGAUACCUGGUCGGGAUUCAACCUUGAGGUGGUUGUGCCCAAAAGGCGUGAAGGUUCGAGUCCUUUCGAGCGCACCA